RNAcentral lists this ribosomal RNA (504 nucleotides) under uncultured bacterium. Its description in RNAcentral is "partial 16S ribosomal RNA". It matches the Rfam family "Bacterial small subunit ribosomal RNA", at positions 30 to 523 of the family's 1533-position model. The record is from RNAcentral.
AUUGAACGCUGGCGGCAGGCCUAACACAUGCAAGUCGAACGGUAGCACAGAGAGCUUGCUCUCGGGUGACGAGUGGCGGACGGGUGAGUAAUGUCUGGGAAACUGCCCGAUGGAGGGGGAUAACUACUGGAAACGGUAGCUAAUACCGCAUAACGUCGCAAGACCAAAGUGGGGGACCUUCGGGCAUCACACCAUCGGAUGUGCCCAGAUGGGAUUAGCUAGUAGGUGGGGUAAUGGCUCACCUAGGCGACGAUCCCUAGCUGGUCUGAGAGGAUGACCAGCCACACUGGAACUGAGACACGGUCCAGACUCCUACGGGAGGCAGCAGUGGGGAAUAUUGCACAAUGGGCGCAAGCCUGAUGCAGCCAUGCCGUGUGUAUGAAGAAGGCCUUCGGGUUGUAAAGUACUUUCAGCGGGGAGGAAGGCGGUGAAGUUAAUAGCUUCACCGAUUGACGUUACCCGCAGAAGAAGCACCGGCUAACUCCGUGCCAGCCGCCGCAGUAA